This 73-nucleotide transfer RNA is filed under the name Trichonephila clavata. It matches the Rfam family "tRNA". From Rfam's summary of the family: Transfer RNA (tRNA) molecules are approximately 80 nucleotides in length. Their secondary structure includes four short double-helical elements and three loops (D, anti-codon, and T loops). The record is from Rfam by way of RNAcentral. Lineage: Eukaryota; Metazoa; Arthropoda; Arachnida; Araneae; Nephilidae.
GUUCCUGCAGCGCAAUGGACAGCGCGUUGAACUUCUAAUCCAAAGGUCGUGAGUACAAAUCCCACCUGGGAUG